AUGGCUCAGGACGAACGCUGGCGGCGUGCCUAACACGAUGCAAGUCGAGCGAGGAGAUCCUCGGGAUGAUCCUAGCGGCGGACGGGUGAGUAACACGUGGGCAACCUGCCUCAUAGAGAGGAAUAGCCUUCCGAAAGGGAGAUUAAUACCUCAUAACAUUGCAGUUUCGCAUGGAACAGCAAUUAAAGGAGCAAUCCGCUAUGAGAUGGGCCCGCGGCGCAUUAGCUAGUUGGUGAGGUAACGGCUCACCAAGGCGACGAUGCGUAGCCGACCUGAGAGGGUGAUCGGCCACAUUGGGACUGAGACACGGCCCAGACUCCUACGGGAGGCAGCAGUGGGGAAUAUUGCACAAUGGGGGAAACCCUGAUGCAAGCAACGCCGCGUGAGUGAUGACGGCCUUCGGGUUGUAAAGCUCUGUCUUCAGGGACGAUAAUGACGGUACCUGAGGAGGAAGCCACGGCUAACUACGUGCCAGCCGCAGC
This 482-nucleotide ribosomal RNA is filed under the name uncultured bacterium. Its description in RNAcentral is "bacterial SSU rRNA". It matches the Rfam family "Bacterial small subunit ribosomal RNA", at positions 19 to 518 of the family's 1533-position model. The record is from RNAcentral.